This 446-nucleotide ribosomal RNA is filed under the name uncultured bacterium. Its description in RNAcentral is "partial 16S ribosomal RNA". It matches the Rfam family "Bacterial small subunit ribosomal RNA", at positions 338 to 795 of the family's 1533-position model. The record is from RNAcentral.
CCUACGGGUGGCAGCAGUCGAGAAUCAUUCACAAUGGGGGAAACCCUGAUGGUGCGACGCCGCGUGGGGGAAUGAAGGUCUUCGGAUUGUAAACCCCUGUCAUGUGGGAGCAAAUUAAAAAGAUAGUACCACAUGAGGAAGAGACGGCUAACUCUGUGCCAGCAGCCGCGGUAAUACAGAGGUCUCAAGCGUUGUUCGGAAUCACUGGGCGUAAAGCGUGCGUAGGCUGUUUCGUAAGUCGUGUGUGAAAGGCGCGGGCUCAACCCGCGGACGGCACAUGAUACUGCGGGACUAGAGUAAUGGAGGGGCAGCCGGAAUUCUCGGUGUAGCAGUGAAAUGCGUAGAUAUCGAGAGGAACACUCGUGGCGAAGGCGGGUUCCUGGACAGUAACUGACGCUGAGGCACGAAGGCCAGGGGAGCGAAAGGGAUUAGAUACCCGGGUAGUC